Molecule: long non-coding RNA, 8222 nt
Filed under: Marmota monax (woodchuck)
Lineage: Eukaryota; Metazoa; Chordata; Mammalia; Rodentia; Sciuridae
Source: RNAcentral
GUGAUGGACAUCACCAUCCAAAGUCCACGUAUGAAGACACAAAUUGGUGUCAACAUACUUUUUCUGUAUGUGAAAAAUUGUGCUGUAUGUGUGUAAUGAGAAUUGUAAUGCAUUCCACUAUCAUGUAUUUUUAAAAAAAUCAAUAAUUUUUUUUUAAAUCACAGAUAUAUGUAUACUUCACUCUUAGGAAGUAUGCAGAAUAUGGAAACCCCAGAGUCACAGAGCAGAAGUUGGUGACCAGGGCCUGGGAGGGCAGGAGAGUGACCGUCUGCCUGAGGGACACCUGGUUUCCUUUGGUGGUUAUUAAAAGCUGUGCAACAAGGAAAGGUUGUAAUAACAUUGCACCAUUUCAAAUAUCACUAGAUCCGAUUUUCAAAUGGACACUAUCAGGAGAAAUGAAUCUCAUUUAAAAACAAAACCCCCAAAAAAACCUGAAAAUUCUGGGAUUCUACUCAGUGACGUCGGGUAUAAACUCUGGUGACAGGAAGACACUGUGGCGCUGCAGACCCCAACCGUACUCUGGACCACCGACUCAGAGUUGUUAGGAAUACCGGCUGCCAGGAACUGAGAACCUACUCUGCCGAGUCAGGUGUGGCUCUAGCUUCUUCCUAAACCUUGGUCCUAAUUUUCCCAGUGGUCUUGGGUCCUACUUGGAGGAAUCCUGACUUUAUGGAGAACAAACAAGGGCUGGAAACCAAACUGAUUGUCCCAGGGUCACCCACCAUGCAGACCAGGGCUCUGAUGGACUGAUCAGUCUUUGAAAAAUCAACUCCAGUCCAGGGUCAUUUCUGGACAGAGGAGGGGGAAAGGGAGGAAUUAUCAAGGCUCCAGGAACCUUCGAGACUGAAUUAGUCUUCACGUCCUUAUUGUGGGGAUGGUUCCGUGGGUGUAUGUAUGUGGCAGACCUAACAAGCUGCUCAUUACAUAUGUGUGGUUUAUUCUUAUCAUUUUCACCUGAAUAAAGUUAUUUUUAAAUGAAUGAAAGAUAUUAAAAGAAUUCAACAAAAGGCAGAUGCCAACUACACCUAAGGAAAUAUGGCAGACAGCACACAUCAUUAUGGAAUUGUAAGAAAUAAGUUAAUUUGAAAAGAAACAAAAAAAAUUGACAAGACAAAAAUUUGGUUCUUUAAAAAAUAAAUGAAAUUGAGAAACCAUUAUCCACAAAGAGAAUGAGGGAGAAAAUUCAAAUUACUAAAAUUCAUGAUGUAAGAGGAAGUAUCAUGGUGGACACUAUUGAAAUACAGAAGGUGAUCAGAAACUGUUUUGAAAGUUUAUACUCCAAUAAUAUGCAAAAUUGUGAAGACAUUGACCAAUUACUAGAGACAUGUGACUUCCCCAAACUGAAUCCGGAGGACAUACAUGGUUUAAGCCCAUCAAUUUAAAAUAAUGAAAUACAAAAUGCCAUCAAAAGCCUACAACUAAGAAAAGCCCAGGACUAGAGAGACUGUCAGCCAAGGUCUAUGAGACCUUCAAAGCAGAAAUAACACCAAAUUUCUCAAAUUAUUUUGUGAAAUAGAAAAGGAGGAACCCUUCCAAACUCAUUCUAUGAAGCUAGUUUCACCCCGAUACCAAAACCAGACAAAGAUACAAGGAAAGAAAAUUUCCCACCAGUAUCCCUGAUGGUCACAGAUGCAAAAGUUCUCAAUAAAAUUCUGGCAAAUAGGGGCUGGGGCUGGGGUUCAGUGGUAGAGCACUCACUCGCCUGCCAUGUGUGAGGCACCGAGUUUGAUCCUCAGCACCACAUAAAAAAUAAAUAAAAAUAAAGUCAUUGUGUCCAUGUACGACUAAAGAAAAAUAUUUUUUAAAAAAAAUCCUGGCAGAUAGCAUACAAAAACAUGUUUAAAAGAUAGUCCACCAUGAUCAAGUGGGGUUUCUCCCAGGGAUGCAAGGUUGGUUUAACACAUGGAAAUCAAUAAACAUAAUUUAUCAUACAAAUGAACCUGAAGAUAAGAGUUGUAUGAUUAUCUUGAUACAGUGCCGCAGUCUGGCUGGGCACAAUCAGGAGCCACUUGUCAAAAGAAACUAACUUUAUUUUUAGAACCACACACGCCAAACAAAACAGCCUCUCAGGAAAAACCCUCAGAGCCUCAACUGCCACCACCGGCUUUCCACAAGCCUCUCUCUCCCACACAAGCUUCUCCCCACCUCCCACAAUCCUCCUGCUCUUGAGGCCGAUUGGCUGGGUCACGUGGGCGGAGCCAAAAAAGUCCCCCAAUGAGCAGCUCCGUGGUCUGAAAGGGCAGGGAAACAGCCCAAUGAGCAUCACCGCAGAGGAGCCAAUCAGCUAGAUGUUGCUGGGGCCGCUGUGAGCCAAUCAUCAGCCGGCAGCUGGAAGUUUGCUGGCAGCUGGAAGUUUGCUGGGGCCCCUUCGGCUGUGGCUCUCAACAAUACAGAAAAAGCAUUUAACAAAAUUCAUGCUCAAAAUAUUAGGAAAACUAGAGAUAGUAGGAACAUACCUCGACUCUGUUAGAGCCAUCUAUGCUAAACCCAUGGCCAGCAUCAUUCCAAAUGGAGAAAAAUUGAAAGCAUUCCCUCUAAAACCUAGAGCCACACAGGGAUGUCCUCUUUCACCAUUUCAAUUCCACAUCAUCCUUAAAACACUAGCCAGAGCAGUUAGACAGAAAAAGAAAUAAAAGGGAUACAAAGAGGAAAAGAAGAACUCAAAGGAUCACUAUUUGCUGACAACAUGAUUCUAUAUCUGGAAUAUCAAAAGAAUUCCACCAGAAAUCUUCUAGAACUCAUAAGUGAAUUCAGCAAAAUGGCAUGAUAUAAACUCAUGACCCAUAAAUCCAAUGUGUUCCCACAGAUCUCUGAUGAAUCCUCUGAAAGAGAAAUUGGGAAAACUACCCCGAUCACAAUAGCCUCAGAAAGAAAAAUACAAUAUUUGCAAAUUAAUCCAACCAAAGAGGUGAGAGACCUCCACAGUCAAACAUCAGAACAGCAAGGAGGGAAACUGAGGAAGGCCUUUGAAGACGGAGCCAUCUCCCACGUUCUUGGGUGGGCAGAAUGAAGCUUGGGCCAUUGUGACAAUGGCCCUACUGCCAAAAAGCACUGCACAGAUUGAAUGCAAUUCCUAUUAAGACACCAAUGAUGUUCUGCAUAGAAAUAGUAAAAGAUGUCAUGAAAUUCAUUUGGCAAAAUAAGAGGCCCCGAACAGCAAAAGCAAGCCUUAGCAAUAACGGGGUCAAAGGAGGCAUCAAAAUAUCAGUCCCUGAAUCACACCACAGCGCGACAGUAACAAAAGUGGUAUGGUUGUGGCAUGAAGACAGACAGACCAACAAAACAGGAUAGAAGACAGAAACCCACGUAGACAGUUCUCUCACACUAGACAAAGGCACCAGAAAUACAUGGGAGCAAAGAAUGUCUUCAACAAAUGGUGCUGGGAAAACAGGAAAUCCUUCUGCAGCAAAGUGAAAUUAAACCCCUCCCUCUCACCCUGCACCAAACUCAAGUCAAAGUGAAUCAAGGACUCUGGCACUACAGCAGAGACCCUGAACCCAAUGGAAGAAGAAAUUAGCCCCAGAUCUCCACCAUGUCGGCUUAGGAGCUGACUUCCUUAACAAGACCCCUAAAGCACACACACACACACACACAAAAAAAAAAAAAAAAUCAAGAAUCAAUAAAUGAGAGGAAUUCAAAGUAAAAAGCUUCCUCUCAGCAAACGAAGCAAUCAGUCAUACAGAGAGAGAAUCUACAGAAUGGGAGAAACUGUUUACCACAUGCACCUCAGAGCGUUGAUCUCAAGAAUCUAUAAAGAACUCAAAAAACUUUAACACACACACACACAAAAAAAAGCCGAUCAGUAAAUGGGCAAAGGAACUGAACAGACACUUCACAAAGGAAAAAACACAACCCAUCAAACAAUAUAUGAGCAAAUGUCCCCCGAUAUGUAGAUGCUAAUCACAAGGGAGGCACUGGGGUGGGGGAUGGAGGUUGUUUGGAGUAGAGAGGGGAGUGGAGGGAGGAAGGACAGUGGAAGCAGUCAGACAUUAUUACCCCACAUGCACAUACGAUCACAUGACUGGUGUAUUUCCACAUCCUGUAUGGCAAGGAGGAUGUGAAGUUAUACUCCAUUUAUAUAUGAUGUGUCAAUGUGUUUCACUGUCAACUGUAACUCACUGUAACCAAUGCAAGAAAAAAAAAAAAGAAUCCAAGAAUUACAAACCUAUAGAAAUUAAAACACUGUGGUACUAAAAAAGUACACAAUCUACAGACCAAUGCCAGAGUGAUCCCCCAAGGGCUUGCUGCACACUCAGCUUUGACCAGUGAGCCCAUAAUAGAUAAAGGACAGUCUCUUUGACAAAUGGUGCUGAGGACACUUGAUUAUCCACAUGCAGAGGAGAGAAAUCAAAGACUUAUCUCCCACCAUACCAUACCAAAGAUCAACUCAAAAGGGAAAAAAGUGAAUGGUGAGACUUGAAUCUGUAACCUUCCUAGAGGAAAAUCCUGGGGCCCCAUGUACCCACCCCUCCCCAUCCUUCUAAAGUGAUGCGUAUCAUCUCGAUUCUAGUUGGAUCCCUACCGAGUGUGACGUGGAUCUGAAUAUCAUGCUGUACUGAUUAGCAGGAAAAGUUAUUAUGUUUCUAUCUAAAAUCAAAGAAGAAUAACUUGGUGAGUAAAAUAUAAAAAGAAAACACAAAUGUCUGACAACAUUGCUUUAGGAAAUGGUCCCUUAGCUGUGACACUAUGACAUGGGACAGAAUCAUAAACAGGCAAGUGAAACGUCAUCAAACCAAGAGCUUCUGCACAGCAAGGAAAGCAAGAACAGAGAAAAGGAUCCAGCUGACAAUGAGAGAAGUUACCUGCAUAUCCCCUAAGAGCACAGUGUCUCAAUACAGAGGUCAUCCCUGGAACUCUAGCAAAACACGGGUAAAAACACCUAGAGUCCCAGUGGUUCAGGAGGCUACAUGGGGAGGAUCACAAGGUGGAGGCCAGCCUCAGCAAGUGAGCAAGGCCCUAAGCAACUCAGUGAGGCCCUGUCUCUAAAUAAAAAUAUAAAUAAAAUGAUCUGGGAUGUGGCUCAGUGGUUAAGUGCCCUGGGUUCAAUCCUUAGUGGAAAAGGUCAGAAAAAACUUAAAAUUCUAUAUUUGUUAAAUUCAUCAUUUUGAUCCAAUAUGCCUAUGUUAAUAUGGUUUUCUGAUUACACUCUGCUUUAUUCUAAGGCCAACUUACAAGGGUUAACUCUCGAUCUAAUAGGUUUUAAAAGUAAGCUACAAGGCUUUUGUUUGUUUGCUUUGUGUGGGUUCACUGGUGUAUGUAUUUGAUACAAAAAAAAAUUGAUCUGUGAGCUCAUAAAUUAAAAGUUUUAAAAAAUGGAUCCAAAUACCUUUGGUUAAUAUGAUUUUAAAAGUUCAAUUUAAAUUGGAAAAAUAAAUAAAAAUACAAAUGUCUUUAAGUUUAUUAAUGCACAGUUUUGUUUCUAGAUGGUUAAACAGCUGUUAAAAUGUUAAUGUCUAUAAAGUGACAUCCAUGGUCUCUAGGAUUUUUCUUUAACAGGAAAAAAGAUUACUAAUACUAUUCAAUGCACAUGUCUGAUAGUUCGUUGUUUUAAAAAGAUACGUAAGUUACACUUAAAUGUAUAUGAAAUUAAUCAUGAAUGUGUUUGUUAGAGACAUCCAAUUGGUUUACAAAGUUAAAAUGCUAACUGUUAAAUGUAAUAUCAAGAACUCUUAACUCCUUAAGUUCCACACACACACACAAUUUAUGAAAACACCAACAUUGUUUAACUAAAAAAAAUUAAAAUUAUUUUGUGUUAUCAUAAAAACAAGGUUACUAUAAAUUAAAAGUCCCAACCGGUAUAAUUCUACAUACAAGGAGUCAAGAGGUUUCAACUGCAGUUCAAUUAAAGUACUGUAAAUAAAAAAAAUUCAUCCAUUUUAAUAAGAUAAAAUAUUUAUCUAAAUUUAGAAAUUUAUAAGGGUUAUUUUAAGGUACAAACAAAAAGAAGGAUCAGUGGAUUUAAAAUGACCAAAAAGUCCUAAAUAUAAGAAUAUAUUUAGUAAAAAAAGUUUCCAGGUUAAAAAAAAAUUAUGUGGUAAAGUAUAAUUAGAAUAGGUCCAAGUGAACCACAAGGGUCUAAUAAUAUAAAGAUCUACGAAUAAGAGAUAAAUAUUAAAAGGUUUAUAUGUAACUAAGCUGGUUAUAUAUGUAACACAAAUAGGGAACAACCUUCAAUAAUUUUAACUAAGGACAAAUAUUAAUGUUCUGAUAUAUUUAUAUCUUCAAAUGACAAAAACUUCUAAAAAUAUAAGUUACAUUGUGUGUUAAGUUUUAUCCCCUAGAGCAAGUAAUCUUGGAAAAAUUAAGGUUUGUACAUCUGUGGUUAGACAGCAACUGUUAUUUUAAAGUAUUGUCCUACGUUACAGAGUCUAGAUUUGUUUAAAAGCUAACCUUGGUCAAUAUAAAAACAUCAAUAAAAGUGUGGCACGUUACUCUUCUCUACAGAUUAAAUGUGCUCAUAUCUUUCAGGCAUAAAAGUCUUUAAGGUAAAAGGCUUUGAUAGGCCUUGCUAUGGGGACAAUUUCCCAGGUCUUCCGCCUCCUGGUAAGCAAUUAUUGAUUUCUGUCAUUUUCAUGAUAUUCAUGGACAGAUUCCAGAUGCUACAACUGCUAUUUUGUGGUAAUCUUGUUUCACUACUCAUGUCUUUGUCUCUCUCAUAGAGGUGCCCACCCCACGUGAAUUUACAUCCUGGUCUUCCUGAAUUAGAUUUUUACCAUGGACUCCUUGACCCACUCAGUUUCUAAAAAAGGACUCCAAACUGCUGCCCACUGCACAUUGCUCCCCUCUCAGAUCAAAGCAAGAACAGUCAUCGCCCUUUUCCUAACCAGUAGGAGGUCCCUAACAUUAGGGGGAAAAUCACGAUCAGUAUAGAUGUUUGCCACUAUGUCUAGUUCAGGAAGAUGGACCUGGAAAACUACUCCCAAGACCACCCUGGGUGACCUCCCAGAAAGAGACACUUGCUUCCACAACCCAACUUGUAAGUGGGACAACUCCCUGUUCACCAAAAAUUGUACUUCCCGGGUCCCACUUUGAACUCCUUGCCCAAGUCUCCAAACUGUCAAUAACUCUGAACUAUGGAACCUACUAUUUUGAUGGAAUUUAAAAAGGAAAGGAACACCUGGACUUAUUACAAGGCCAGGGCCCACUGAUUUAUCAACCCAGAUGGGCUGCCCCCAUUGGAGUUCCCCUCCUGGCUGGUUUGGGAAUAGCUGGAUCUUCUGCUUUAGGAAGGCAGCUCUGAUCACAGGCUCUAAAAAUGUUAAGUCCCUCAGCCUCAGAUAGAUAGAGAUUUACGAGAACUAGAAAGGUCAGUCUCCAAACUAGAGGUGUCCCUAGACGCUCUGACAGAAAUAGUCUUACAAAACAGAUGAGGUCUAGAGCGUCUCUUUCUAAAACAAGGAGGACCUAAAACAAUUACCAUUUCUAAAACAAUGUAUGGCCCUAGGAGAAACUUGUUUCUAUGCAAACCAUUCAGGGAUAAUCAAGGACAGUUUGGUGCUAAUGAGAAACAGGUUAAAGGAAAGAAAGGAAGCACAAGACACUUCAGGCAAUUGGUUCCAAAACUUAUUCUCAAGGUCCCCUUGGUUGAGUAUCAUCAUUUCAGCCAUAGUUGGGCCCCUAGUCCUUCUCCUGAUUGGAAUUCCUGUAGGACGCUGCCUCUUAAAAACCCUCCUAAACCAUAUACACAAGAAUGUAGGUGAGGUCCGACUUAUGGGCUUGUGAGCCCAGUAUGGUCCCUUAGUCACAAAAGGAUGGGAAAGAAACUGAGGCCUAAUGAUGUGCGAGAUUGACAUCAAACCCACUAAAACCAGUGGGGUCUGUGAUAGUAAAAGCAAAUGUGACUCCGUUUUGUUUUGUGACUCUGUUCUGUCAAACAACCAGGCCAAGUACAAGGGUCAUGACUGGGGCAAGAUGUUCUUUUCCUUUUGCUAUGGAAACCUUUAAGAACAUGGAACUACCUAAUGGGGCAUUGUUUCUGUAACUAGGGUAAGGGGACUCUCUGUAACUGGGGUGACUGGGCUAACUGGUUAUUCCCGCCACCUGACUGCACUCUCCCGCUUCUGUGACCUGGCUUGCUUGCAUUGGCUAGACCCCCCUGAACAUCCCUUUUGUGGUUUUCAGGCUUAUAAGGAGUGCCCUUGCAAUUUUCCGGGGCUGAUCAGGGGCACAGCUUUAUACUCUGGUCAGCCACCACCGGUGUGCUUCAAUAAAGGCUUGAUUGG